AAGCUACACAACAAGACAUCUUCUGAUGAGGAUGAGAGGACGCUCCCUGAAUCAGCCCGAACAGAGGACUCCGUGUACAUAGAUAUGCCUGACGAGGGAGAGGAAAGCGAGGUGUCCGAGGGGAACACAGAGUGACCCUGUCCUGCCUCAGGCCACCUGCAAAUCUUAUUUUCUCACCUUUAAGCACUACGUAUAAAAUACUUUUCACUGAAACAUAAAAUUCGUAACCAAUUCUA
This is a long non-coding RNA of Galeopterus variegatus (Sunda flying lemur), 236 nucleotides long. RefSeq lists it as uncharacterized. The transcript has 2 exons. The record is from RefSeq and is a predicted model, not a curated record. NCBI's taxonomy places the organism in Eukaryota, Metazoa, Chordata, Mammalia, Dermoptera, Cynocephalidae.